RNAcentral lists this long non-coding RNA (468 nucleotides) under Rattus norvegicus (Norway rat). RNAcentral describes it as "long non-coding RNA NONRATT032244". The record is from RNAcentral. Lineage: Eukaryota; Metazoa; Chordata; Mammalia; Rodentia; Muridae.
GAGUUAGGUCAGGUCAUGCACAAGAUUUCCCAUGUCUGGUCACCGGAUAGCUCUCACUAAGCGCUUAGUGCUAAAUCCUCGUCAAUCCCUCCCUGAAGGCUCAUGGAACCUCGGGGAAGAGGAACAGAAAGUCCGUCUGACCCAGGGAAUGGGGAGGAGCGACGCUUUCGGGGUGCGCGGCUAUUGUACUCUUGAACUCAUGGUAACUAUGGUUACCGGCACAGGAUCCAGUCAACAAGACCAGUCAGCAUCCUGGCAGUCAGCACUUAGAGGACUUAGUGGCUGUGGAGGGGGACAGAGGCAGCAGACCCCUAAAUUUUGGGCAGACAGAAUUGGUUUUGGAUACAUCAAUGAGAAAAACGAGAACCUGUUUUAUGAACACAUUGGGGGUCUCUGGUGAGACCUGAGACUAGAUAGACCUGGACCUAGAGGAAAAACAAAUUCUUUUGUUCUAUUAAAGAGACAGAG